AAAGUAGUAGCCUUCUUAAGCUUCUAGGAAGAAUUAGGCCUAGAUCACUACUUUAGCAUCUUUGUGAGAAGAAGCAUGAAUAAAAUUCGAGGAUUGUCCGAGUGCUUUUAGUGUGUACCUUAGCUUGCUUGUCUUUUAUGUUGUCUUUGCAACUUUAGAUCAUGAGGAUUGUCUUGAAUUUUAAAUCUUAGUUGUCGAGUUUAGUAAUUGAUUUGUUU
This 218-nucleotide long non-coding RNA is filed under the name Setaria italica (foxtail millet). RNAcentral describes it as "long non-coding RNA (SITA_LNC004460)". The record is from RNAcentral. Lineage: Eukaryota; Viridiplantae; Streptophyta; Magnoliopsida; Poales; Poaceae.